AGAGUUUGAUCAUGGCUCAGAUUGAACGCUGGCGGCAAGCCUCAUACAUGCAAGUCGAACGAGAAAGUAUCUUCGGAUACAAGUAAAGUGGCGGACGGGUGAGUAAUACAUAGGAAUCUACCCAGUGGAGGGGGAUAGCUCGAGGAAACUCGAAUUAAUACCGCAUAAUCUCUACGGAGUAAAGAGGGCUUCGGCUCUCACCAUUGGAUGAGCCUAUGCAAGAUUAGCUUGUUGGUGAGGUAAUGGCUCACCAAGGCUACGAUCUUUAGCUGGUUUGAGAGGACGACCAGCCACAUCGGGACUGAGACACGGCCCGGACUUCUACGGAAGGCAGCAGUAGGGAAUAUUGGACAAUGAGCGAAAGCUUGAUCCAGCUAUGCCGCGUGUGCGAUGACGGCCUUAGGGUUGUAAAGCACUUUAGGUAACGAGGAAAAGUUAGGUGUUAAUACCACUUAACCUUGACGUUAAUUACAGAAUAAGCACCGGCUAAAUCCGUGCCAGCAGCCGCGGUAAUUC
Molecule: ribosomal RNA, 516 nt
Filed under: uncultured bacterium
Lineage: Bacteria
Description: bacterial SSU rRNA
Rfam family: Bacterial small subunit ribosomal RNA
Source: RNAcentral